RNAcentral lists this small RNA (58 nucleotides) under Vibrio cholerae O1 biovar El Tor str. N16961. The record is from RNAcentral. Lineage: Bacteria; Pseudomonadati; Pseudomonadota; Gammaproteobacteria; Vibrionales; Vibrionaceae.
AACCACUCAAUCUGAGUCCUUUUAGCGAGUUCUGGCGUUACCUUCUCGCAAACUUUGC